RNAcentral lists this ribosomal RNA (119 nucleotides) under Pteropus alecto (black flying fox). Lineage: Eukaryota; Metazoa; Chordata; Mammalia; Chiroptera; Pteropodidae. The record is from RNAcentral.
AUCUACGGCUAUGCUACCCUAAACAAGCCCGAUCCCGGCUGAUCUCGGAAGCUAAACAGGAUUGGGCCUGGUUAGUACUUGGAUCGGAGACCACCUAGGAAGACCAGGUGCUGUAGUCA